GUUUUGUGAUGAGGGCAUUUUCGUAAUAGUUCUUUAAACCUUUCCCAUGCCUCAUACAAGGACUCGUCAUCCAUUUAUUGGAAAGCAAUGAUCUCAUUCCUCAACUU
Molecule: small nucleolar RNA, 107 nt
Organism: Gossypium arboreum
Lineage: Eukaryota; Viridiplantae; Streptophyta; Magnoliopsida; Malvales; Malvaceae
Rfam family: Plant small nucleolar RNA R71
About the family: R71 is a member of the C/D box family of snoRNAs containing the C (UGAUGA) and D (CUGA) box motifs.
Source: Rfam